Molecule: ribosomal RNA, 997 nt
Filed under: uncultured bacterium
Lineage: Bacteria
Description: bacterial SSU rRNA
Rfam family: Bacterial small subunit ribosomal RNA
Source: RNAcentral
UGGGGGAUAUUGCACAAUGGGGGAAACCCUGAUGCAGCGACGCCGCGUGGAGGAAGAAGGUUUUCGGAUUGUAAACUCCUGUCGUUAGGGACGAUAAUGACGGUACCUAACAGGAAAGCACCGGCUAACUACGUGCCAGCAGCCGCGGUAAAACGUAGGGUGCAAGCGUUGUCCGGAAUUACUGGGUGUAAAGGGAGCGCAGGCGGGAAGACAAGUUGGAAGUGAAAACCAUGGGCUCAACCCAUGAAUUGCUUUCAAAACUGUUUUUCUUGAGUAGUGCAGAGGUAGAUGGAAUUCCCGGUGUAGCGGUGGAAUGCGUAGAUAUCGGGAGGAACACCAGUGGCGAAGGCGGUCUACUGGGCACCAACUGACGCUGAGGCUCGAAAGCAUGGGUAGCAAACAGGAUUAGAUACCCUGGUAGUCCAUGCCGUAAACGAUGAUUACUAGGUGUUGGGGGAUUGACCCCCUCAGUGCCGCAGUUAACACAAUAAGUAAUCCACCUGGGGAGUACGACCGCAAGGUUGAAACUCAAAGGAAUUGACGGGGGCCCGCACAAGCAGUGGAGUAUGUGGUUUAAUUCGAAGCAACGCGAAGAACCUUACCAGGUCUUGACAUCCGAUGCAUAGCACAGAGAUGUGUGAAAUCCUUCGGGACAUCGAGACAGGUGGUGCAUGGUUGUCGUCAGCUCGUGUCGUGAGAUGUUGGGUUAAGUCCCGCAACGAGCGCAACCCUUAUUGCCAGUUACUACGUUAAGAGGACUCUGGCGAGACUGCCGUUGACAAAACGGAGGAAGGUGGGGAUGACGUCAAAUCAUCAUGCCCUUUAUGACCUGGGCUACACACGUACUACAAUGGCGUUAAACAAAGAGAAGCAAGACCGCGAGGUGGAGCAAAACUCAAAAACAACGUCUCAGUUCAGACUGUAGUCUGCAACCCGACUACACGAAGCUGGAAUCGCUAGUAAUCGCAGAUCAGAAUGCUGCGGUGAAUACGUUCCC